This 1269-nucleotide long non-coding RNA is filed under the name Nicotiana benthamiana. RNAcentral describes it as "long non-coding RNA (NBEN_LNC021493)". Lineage: Eukaryota; Viridiplantae; Streptophyta; Magnoliopsida; Solanales; Solanaceae. The record is from RNAcentral.
CCUGCACCAUUCGGAUUAAUUAAAAGAACUGGUUACCAAUUGGAGAUGCUGCAAAUAAGCGGAUGCAUCAUCUUAACAUUUGAGAGAAUGGAGGGUUCCAAAGGGAAUCACUUGGAAUCAAGCAAAAGUUUGGUUACCAAUUGGAGAUGCUGCAAACAAGCGGAUGCAUCAUCUUAAUAUUUGAGAGAGGAGUCCAAAGGGAAUCACUUGGAAUCAAGCAAAAAUAGCCUUAAGUCAUGCAACAACUUGGAAUGCUUAAAUUACAGCAUGCACAGGAUGCCUCCCCACCAGAUUUUGGAGGAGAGUAAGUAGUUACUCUUAAAUUGCUAACUUCUGCUUUUAUUAUUCCCCUGUCAACAGUUUUGGUUUCUCAGUCUUUCUCCUAAUCAGAAGGCCUUCUAUCUUUUCUCAAUUUCGGAGGCUUUUUGUUCCUUCAGAGGCCUGAUUCAAUUGUCUGGCAUGCCUUCUCUUUCCUCGUAUAUGUUUUAUAGCUCUCUUUGUUCAGAUUUCAGAAAAAGAAAAGCACAUGAUCAUCUGAUUGACAAUGCUGUCCUCUUUUCUUCUUUCUCUAAUCCAUGCAUUGUAAUACAUGAAUUAAGCUUUCUGUUGCAGACUCUAUCCUUCAGAGUUUCACCGACUUCUGCCCUUUGAGAAGCCAUGGUUCUUACCAAAAUGCAUCAGCCAUCUUACAUACUACUGAAGAAAUCUGACUCAAUUUCAAAUAAAGGAAGUCAUUACUGCUACGGAAAGGAUGCAAGAGAUGCAGAGACAAAAUGUUUCGAAGCCCCAGAAGGCAAAAGAUAAGGCUCCUCUUUACAGCAGCUCGACUCAGUUUUUGCUAAAAAAGCUAGUCCUAAUCUGACAUGAUAACCAUUAGCAAGCCCAAGUACUAGCAAAGUUAUAGAAUCAGAGUAAAGGACUAGGCCAAAAAAAUACUGAUAGAUGAGAUACUAAAAAGUAAUACAGCUCAUAUAACAAUUGCAAACAUCAAUCGACAAUGCCAGCUGUGAUGCAGUUCCCACGACUACCCCGUACAUGAUUUUUUUUUCUUCGGCUCUUAUUUGACACUGUUCCCUCACACUGCUGGCGUCUUAAGAUGCCCAAAAAAAGCCUUUUAUCCCUUAUUUUCAAGUAGUUCCUUCGCUUCAAUAUUAACAUUGGAGGUCACGGUCAUGGCAAUAAUUAUAAGUAGUGUUCUUGCAGUGUACACAACAACAACAACAACAACAACAACCCAGUAUAAUCCCACUUAGUGGGGUCUGGGGAGGG